UUGAACGCUGGCGGCAUGCCUUACACAUGCAAGUCGAACGGUAACGCGGGGCAACCUGGCGACGAGUGGCGAACGGGUGAGUAAUAUAUCGGAACGUGCCCAAUAGUGGGGGAUAGCCCGGCGAAAGCCGGAUUAAUACCGCAUGAGACCUGAGGGUGAAAGCGGGGGACUCGCAAGAGCCUCGCGCUAUUGGAGCGGCCGAUAUCAGAUUAGGUAGUUGGUGGGGUAAAAGCCUACCAAGCCGACGAUCUGUAGCUGGUCUGAGAGGACGACCAGCCACACUGGGACUGAGACACGGCCCAGACUCCUACGGGAGGCAGCAGUGGGGAAUUUUGGACAAUGGGCGCAAGCCUGAUCCAGCCAUGCCGCGUGCGGGAAGAAGGCCUUCGGGUUGUAAACCGCUUUUGUCAGGGAAGAAAUCCUUUGAGUUAAUACCUCGGGGGGAUGACGGUACCUGAAGAAUAAGCACCGGCUAACUACGU
RNAcentral lists this ribosomal RNA (482 nucleotides) under uncultured bacterium. RNAcentral describes it as "bacterial SSU rRNA". It matches the Rfam family "Bacterial small subunit ribosomal RNA", at positions 29 to 506 of the family's 1533-position model. The record is from RNAcentral.